Molecule: long non-coding RNA, 1124 nt
Filed under: Setaria viridis
Lineage: Eukaryota; Viridiplantae; Streptophyta; Magnoliopsida; Poales; Poaceae
Description: long non-coding RNA (SVIR_LNC000026)
Source: RNAcentral
CUCCAAGCUGGCGCAGUCGCCCAGCUGCUGGAAGACCUUGGCCGCCGCGUCGUCAUCGGUGCCCAGGAGGUUGUCGACGACGCCGCGCUUCUGGAGGUGCUCCACGUCCUCGCCCGUCCUCACCCGGGAACCCACCAGCGCCGCGUAGCGCGACACCGGUGGACGUGGCUCUUGGCAGGCGAACUCAUCCUUUUGGUGGUGCCACGCAUCCUGCACUUUGUCCUUCACCUUGGAAAUGCCAGGGAUGUGAGUUACUCGUCUUGGCUCCUUUUUGUUUCGAGCCGGAGCCGGCAGCGCCUUCGAGCUAGUUCCACCACUCCCAGGCUGCGGCACCGGUAGAUCGGCGAACAUGGCGGCGAAGCUAUGGUCCUCGUACUCCAAGCUGGCGCAGUCGCCCAGCUGCUGGAAGAACUUGGCCGCCGCGUCGUCGUCGGUGCCCAGGAGGUUGUCGACGAUGCCGCGCUUCUGAAGGUGCUCCACGUCCUCGCCCGUCCUCACCCGGGAACCCACCAGCGCCGCAUAGCGCGACACCGGUGGACGUGGAUCUUGGCAGGCGAACUCAUCCUUUUGGUGGUGCCACGCAUCCUGCACUUUGCCCUUCACCUUGGAAAUGCCAGGGAUGUGAGUUACUCGUCUUGGCUCCUUUUUGUUUCGAGCCGGUGCCGGCAGCGCCCUCGAGCUAGUUCCACCACUCCCAGGCUGCGGCACCGGUGGACGUGGAUCUUGGUAGGCGAAGUCGCUCCUGCUUUGGGCUUCCCAUCCCGGACUGGGACUGGCUCCUCCUCCUCCUACCAUGGUCAGGCGGCCAAAGGCUGAUGAGAGUACGGAAUCCGUAUAGAAAUGGCAGGCAACUUUAAACCUCAAACAUAUUACAAAUUAAACUCUUCCAUCGAUAUAGCAGCGCUGCUAGCCUAAUUAGAAGUAUAAAAUCACUGCUACUACUGAAAAAUGGAACCGAAAUCGUAGCUAAAUCGAAGAUCUUGUGCAGCUAGCUAUAGUUGUUACCUUCUUCAGCAGAGGAGGACGCUUGCCUGUUUUUUGCGUAAAAGGAAAAUGCCAUCAGUUGAUUGUAAUGCUCUCCAGCUUAGACCCGGAUCAAUUGUAGCAGGAGAGUAGUAGUGCUC